Long non-coding RNA from Oreochromis aureus, 427 nucleotides. NCBI's taxonomy places the organism in Eukaryota, Metazoa, Chordata, Actinopteri, Cichliformes, Cichlidae. The record is from Ensembl.
GAUCUCAUAAAUCAGAAGAUCGAAUAUUUAAAUGAAAUAAUUAGAAUGAAAAAUUGAACUCAGUGCUUGUAGUAAACAAAGAAAUAUAAUAAUAAUAAUAAUAACAAUAAUGAUAUAAUGGGCACAUCUGGACAUUACCUGUCUUGUGUAAAACCCUUUCCACUGAUGCAUUAUCAUUUCUCUUGUAAUUUUCAGCUCAACAUGAGUGCAUUUUAUGCAGUUGGAGGUGUGAUGGAUUUUUCCCUUAAAUAUAUGGAAAACGUCACCUCGGUUUCAGCGUAGCGUUGUGAAGACGGUGUCCAAGAGAACAGAGGUCCUAUUGACGGAUUACUCUUUGUACCUGAGUAGUGUUAUUUAUUGCCUUAGUCUUUGGGUUGUGCAAACCAUCGCUUUUUUAUCACGUUAUCCAGAUCUUUCUACAACCAGU